This 76-nucleotide transfer RNA is filed under the name Thaumarchaeota archaeon RBG_16_49_8. Its description in RNAcentral is "tRNA-Pro". It matches the Rfam family "tRNA". Rfam says of the family: Transfer RNA (tRNA) molecules are approximately 80 nucleotides in length. The record is from RNAcentral. Lineage: Archaea; Thermoproteati; Nitrososphaerota. RNAcentral also lists the same sequence under 2 other names.
GGGGUCGUAGUCGAGCAUGGUCUAAGAUGCAUGGCUCGGGCCCAUGUGAACGUGGGUUCAAAUCCCACCGACCCCA